Long non-coding RNA from Pongo abelii (Sumatran orangutan), 2818 nucleotides. Lineage: Eukaryota; Metazoa; Chordata; Mammalia; Primates; Hominidae. The record is from Ensembl.
UUAAGCAUACACUCCAGCCUCAGCGAGCUUGGCGUCUGCACACCUGCCGCUGGCAGACCCUCCUCCAGGCACCUGCCCUGGGCCCCGCCCCGCCCGGUCCGCGCGCACGCGCAGUGGCCCCACCUCGCUCCGCCCCGCGGCGCCCGAGGACCCAACGGAGCUACACCCGCUCGUUCAGCCAAGAGGCCCUGCGCGGCUCCAGGGAGAGCUGGGUGGUUAUGCUACCUCAUUAGACACAUUGGUGGACGAUGCCGCGGAUUAGCGGGUGCGAGUGAUUCAAGGAAAUCCCACUGGAGGGAACACACGCUGCGAUGCACCCUCUCCUCUUCCAUUGAGCCAGGGGUGACCUUGAGAGACUCAGGCCACCUCACCAGGCUCUACCAGGAACAGCAUCUAGAGCUGGUAGACAGCGCGGGCUGCAGAGAGGUAAAGAUGGGGUUCGGAAGCCAAGGCUCCCCUUGUUGCAUGGGUGACAUCAGGCAAGCUACUCAACUUCUAACCCUGGCUUCCCCUUCUGCAUACUGGAGACAGUCUCGACCCCACAGUCACUUGUGGAGCAAGUGGGUUUGAGCUGAGCUCCUCUGAAAAUCAGAGGCACUCAGAGAGUAGCUCAGAAAACCAGGAUGUGUCAGUUUCAUUCGCCAGGAAGCAGAAGCCAAGAUAGAAUUAGAGGUGCAAUGUCUGUGAAGGAAGAAUAAAGGGAAAAGGAAACAGGAGUGGGGCAGGGGGCAGACCAAAAGGAAGACUGACAAGUGUGAGAAGGAGCCCCACAGUGCAGUGUAAGCUCGAGAAGGUGUGGAGGGGAUGGGAGUCACUCACUGGGCAGGAAUGGCCCAGCUCCAGCACCUUGCUAUGGCCAGCCAUCUGCUGGGAACAGGCCAGGAAGAGUGUGGCCUUGGCGUAAACACUGGGGUGGAUCCCGAGAUGAAGGUGUGGCCGCUGGAAGCUGUCACUUCACCACUCCUCUUCUGAAGAGAGAGCUGAGCCCUGCACAUGGGAGCAUUGGGGAAAAGAGUGGUAGACGUUUAUCAGUAACCUUACUGGUUUUGUGCUCCAUCCUCCAUCUCCCAAAGUCUCCCUGACCUUGCCUUCAGCUCCAGGAAUGGCCACAUGACUCAGACAAAGCCAACCAGCCAUCCCAUUUCAGUGGCCAGCGAUGAAUGAUUCAGUGUUUACCCAAACGCAUCCAAUCAGGGUGAAUCUGAGGACAUUUGCUGGGGAGGCUGGGACACAGAUAAUCUCUUUUCUGACAGAUGGUAACAAGAAAGUAGGUAGCUGCAGGGGCUGCUGGCAGCCAUCUUGAGACAUGAAAGGUAUCCAAAUUGGGAUGAAUUCAGCAUUGAGGAUGGGGGUGCAGAGAAACAGGAGACAGGGCCUUUGAUCACAUUGUUGGAUGGCUGGUUAAGCCUCUCCUGAAAUCCAUUCUACUGCUGGACUUUACAGUUCAUAAACUAAUAAAUCCUCUUUACUGUUUGAAGCAGUUGUGUCAGGUGUCCUGUUACGUAUAAGAAAGGCCUCCGAUUUGAUCAGCAAUAGGGAACUGGAUGUCCUCUGAGCUCCAUAAGUCAGCACAGGCCUAAUGCUCAGGCCUUAUGGAGCCUCGGACUGAUGAAAGGGUGGUAUGGGCAUCCAUGGCUGCUUUUGGGACCUCAGGGGAGCAGUGUGUGAAUGUUCAUUUCAGAGUAAUGACAGCAACUCCACGUGUCUGCAUCCUUUUACGCCCAGCCACUCCCUUUCCCAUGACCAGCUGCUGUCUUUACCCUCUCGCCUGUAUCUUUUCUCCAUUACAUAGAUCCUCCUAACUCACACUUCUUCCUCCUUCCUGAGUUGAGUUUGCAAGACUGAUUCCAGAUUCACCUUGUGAUUUUCCUAACGCAUCUCUUACCUUCAAUAACUUCCAAGGGCCUGAUCCUCUCUUCAUUUCCCAAUUCAAAUUUCUGGGAGCAGGACUUGGAUUAUCCCAGCUCUUGCCUAUUUAGACAACCUCAGAGAUUCUAUUUCCACUGUCUGUGGAGGGGACUGAGUAUUGGUACUUUUGAAAAGUUUCUUGGAUGGUUCAAGUGUGCAGCCAGAGUCAAGAACCUCUGGAUUAGUAAAGCUUUCCAGGCCAGCUGACCCCACAGUCGGCCCUUGGGUCAAGUUCAAGCUCAAUCCAGUCAGCUAAGAGCAGAGCCACAGGGUCUCACUAUGCCCAAAGUCCCUUCCAUUGGCAGAAUAUGUGGCUACAGAAGGAGUGAGAGGAGGCCAGGCACAGUGGCUCAUGCCUGUAAUCCUAGCACCUUGGGAGGCCAAGGCAGGUGGAUCACCUGAGGUCAGGAGUUUGAGACCAGCCUGGCCAACAUGGCAAAACCCCGUCUCUACUAAAAAUACAAAAAUUAGCCAGACGUGGUGGCACACGCCUGUAAUCCCAGCUACUCGGGAGGCUGAGGCAGUAGAAUUGCUUGAACCCAGGAGGCAGAGGUUGCAGUGAGCUGAGAUCGUGCCACUGCAUUCUAGCCUGGCAACAGAGUGAGACUCUGUCUCAAAAAAAAAAAAAAAAAGGAGUGAGAGGAGACAGGCCGCGCUUGACAUGCUGAGGACAAACAAGCCUAGCACAGUGCUUGGCAUCAUGCAGUCGCUCAACAAAUGACAGAUGUUAUUACAUUCCUGUCUCUUCUGUAAUUCAAGGGGAUGCAGUCGGCCCUCCGUAUCCUGGGGUUUCACAUCCAUGACUUAAAACAACCACAGACUGAAAAUAUUCAGAUAAAUAAUAAAAUACAAUAAAAAAAUGCAUAUUUUAAAAAUAAUAUAGUAUACUAACAAUUUCCAUAGCAUUUAC